RNAcentral lists this ribosomal RNA (118 nucleotides) under Pteropus alecto (black flying fox). Lineage: Eukaryota; Metazoa; Chordata; Mammalia; Chiroptera; Pteropodidae. The record is from RNAcentral.
UCUACGACCGUGCCACCCUGAAUGUGCCAGAUCUUGUCAGAUCUCGGAAGCUAAGCAGGGUCGGGCCUGGUUAGUACUUGGAUGGGAGACCACCUAGGAAUACCAGCUGCUGUUAGGC